Molecule: ribosomal RNA, 229 nt
Filed under: uncultured bacterium
Lineage: Bacteria
Description: partial 16S ribosomal RNA
Rfam family: Bacterial small subunit ribosomal RNA
Source: RNAcentral
UGCGUAGGCGGAUUAAUAAGUCAGUGGUGAAAUCUUUCGGCUCAACCGAGAAACUGCCACUGAUACUGUUAAUCUUGAGUUCGGUUGAGGUAGGCGGAAUGUGUAAUGUAGCGGUGAAAUGCUUAGAUAUUACACAGAACACCAAUUGCGUAGGCAGCUUACUAGACCGACACUGACGCUGAGGCACGAAAGCGUGGGGAGCGAACAGGAUUAGAUACCCUGGUAGUCC